This 1290-nucleotide ribosomal RNA is filed under the name Bacillus siamensis. RNAcentral's name for it is "bacterial SSU rRNA". It matches the Rfam family "Bacterial small subunit ribosomal RNA", at positions 74 to 1348 of the family's 1533-position model. Lineage: Bacteria; Bacillati; Bacillota; Bacilli; Caryophanales; Bacillaceae. The record is from RNAcentral.
GGGAGCUUGCUCCCUGAUGUUAGCGGCGGACGGGUGAGUAACACGUGGGUAACCUGCCUGUAAGACUGGGAUAACUCCGGGAAACCGGGGCUAAUACCGGAUGGUUGUCUGAACCGCAUGGUUCAGACAUAAAAGGUGGCUUCGGCUACCACUUACAGAUGGACCCGCGGCGCAUUAGCUAGUUGGUGAGGUAACGGCUCACCAAGGCGACGAUGCGUAGCCGACCUGAGAGGGUGAUCGGCCACACUGGGACUGAGACACGGCCCAGACUCCUACGGGAGGCAGCAGUAGGGAAUCUUCCGCAAUGGACGAAAGUCUGACGGAGCAACGCCGCGUGAGUGAUGAAGGUUUUCGGAUCGUAAAGCUCUGUUGUUAGGGAAGAACAAGUGCCGUUCAAAUAGGGCGGCACCUUGACGGUACCUAACCAGAAAGCCACGGCUAACUACGUGCCAGCAGCCGCGGUAAUACGUAGGUGGCAAGCGUUGUCCGGAAAUUAUUGGGCGUAAAGGGCUCGCAGGCGGUUUCUUAAGUCUGAUGUGAAAGCCCCCGGCUCAACCGGGGAGGGUCAUUGGAAACUGGGGAACUUGAGUGCAGAAGAGGAGAGUGGAAUUCCACGUGUAGCGGUGAAAUGCGUAGAGAUGUGGAGGAACACCAGUGGCGAAGGCGACUCUCUGGUCUGUAACUGACGCUGAGGAGCGAAAGCGUGGGGAGCGAACAGGAUUAGAUACCCUGGUAGUCCACGCCGUAAACGAUGAGUGCUAAGUGUUAGGGGGUUUCCGCCCCUUAGUGCUGCAGCUAACGCAUUAAGCACUCCGCCUGGGGAGUACGGUCGCAAGACUGAAACUCAAAGGAAUUGACGGGGGCCCGCACAAGCGGUGGAGCAUGUGGUUUAAUUCGAAGCAACGCGAAGAACCUUACCAGGUCUUGACAUCCUCUGACAAUCCUAGAGAUAGGACGUCCCCUUCGGGGGCAGAGUGACAGGUGGUGCAUGGUUGUCGUCAGCUCGUGUCGUGAGAUGUUGGGUUAAGUCCCGCAACGAGCGCAACCCUUGAUCUUAGUUGCCAGCAUUCAGUUGGGCACUCUAAGGUGACUGCCGGUGACAAACCGGAGGAAGGUGGGGAUGACGUCAAAUCAUCAUGCCCCUUAUGACCUGGGCUACACACGUGCUACAAUGGACAGAACAAAGGGCAGCGAAACCGCGAGGUUAAGCCAAUCCCACAAAUCUGUUCUCAGUUCGGAUCGCAGUCUGCAACUCGACUGCGUGAAGCUGGAAUCGCUAGUAAUCGCGGA